Long non-coding RNA from Oncorhynchus tshawytscha (Chinook salmon), 974 nucleotides. The record is from Ensembl. NCBI's taxonomy places the organism in Eukaryota, Metazoa, Chordata, Actinopteri, Salmoniformes, Salmonidae.
GGCAGGUUCACAGUGUUAGCACACUAACUAGCCUAGCUUCCCUCCCUGCUGCUCUAGGCAGGUUCACAGUGUUAGCACACUAACUAGCCUAGCUUCCCUCCCUGCUGCUCUAGGUAGGUUCACAGUGUUAGCACACUAACUAGCCUAGCUGCUCCCCCCUGCUGCUCUAGGCAGGUUCACAGUGUUAGCACACUAACUAGCCUAGCUUCCCUCCCUGCUGCUCUAGGCAGGUUCACAGUGUUAGCACACUAACUAGCCUAGCUGCUCCUCCCUGCUGCUCUAGGCAGGUUCACAGUGUUAGCACACUAACUAGCCUAGCUUCCCUCCCUGCUGCUCUAGGCAGGUUCACAGUGUUAGCACACUAACUAGCCUAGCUGCUCCUCCCUGCUGCUCUAGGCAGGUUCACAGUGUUAGCACACUAACUAGCCUAGCUGCUCCUCCCUGCUGCUCUAGGCAGGUUCACAGUGUUAGCACACUAACUAGCCUAGCUGCUCUAGGCAGGUUCACAGUGUUAGCACACUAACUAGCCUAGCUGCCCCUCCCUGCUUCUCUAGGCAGGUUCACAGUGUCCUUUCCUUAAAACAAAGACACACUUUGGCCCAGAAACCGGAUACACUCCCACUUCUCCUCCUUCUCUCUCUGCCUUUCUCCUUCUCUCAAUCUCCACCUCACACUUUCUUUCUCCCCUUCUCCCUCCUCACCCCGUCACUCUUUCCCUAUUUCUUUUUCUGCUUCUCUUUCUCCCUUCUCCUUCGCUCAACCCUCUCUUUCCUUCCUACCUCUCCUUUUCCUUCUCUUUCUUAUUCUCUCCAUUUCUCUCUCCCCACUGGUUUCACUUAAUAAGCUUCAAAGGUUUUCUGGGCAACGUGGUAUCUUAAAAAAAAGUAACCAUGGCAUUUAUUUGGCACACAACAUCUUCCCUCUUUCUGAGGAUAUGGGGGUUGCCAUGACAUCGGUGGGCACCUUAUAAAGCA